RNAcentral lists this ribosomal RNA (522 nucleotides) under uncultured bacterium. Its description in RNAcentral is "bacterial SSU rRNA". It matches the Rfam family "Bacterial small subunit ribosomal RNA", at positions 1 to 524 of the family's 1533-position model. The record is from RNAcentral.
ACAUACGCGUAGAGUUUGAUCCUGGCUCAGGACGAACGCUGGCGGCGUGGAUUAGGCAUGCAAGUCGAGCGACGGUUUCUCUUCGGAGUAAUACGGAGCGGCGAACGGGUGAGUAACGCGUGAACAACCUGUCCCUUUGUUCCGGAUAAUUGGGAGAAAUCCCUUGUAAUACGGGCGAGGACGGUCCUUUGGCAUCUUAGGAUCGGGAAACACGAAAGUGGCAUGGGGAGGGGUUCGCGACCUAUCAGGUAGUUGGUGUGGUAACGGCACACCAAGCCAACGACGGGUAGCUGGUCUGAGAGGAUGGUCAGCCACAUUGGAACUGAGACACUGUCCAGACUCCUACGGGAGGCUGCAGUCGAGAAUCUUGGGCAAUGCACGAAAGUGUGACCCAGCGACGCCGCGUGAAGGAUGAAGGCCCUCUGGGUCGUAAACUUCUUUUAAGGGGAAAGAAUGGCCUCGGGCUUUGACGGUACCCUUUGAAUAAGCCACGGCUAACUACGUGCCAGCAGCCGCGGUAAU